RNAcentral lists this ribosomal RNA (490 nucleotides) under uncultured bacterium. RNAcentral's name for it is "partial 16S ribosomal RNA". It matches the Rfam family "Bacterial small subunit ribosomal RNA", at positions 28 to 507 of the family's 1533-position model. The record is from RNAcentral.
GAUGAACGCUAGCUCCAGGCUUAACACAUGCAAGUCGCGGGGCAGCAUGGGGGUUGCUUGCCAUCCCCGAUGGCGACCGGCGCACGGGUGAGUAACGCGUAUCCAACCUGCCCUUCACCACGGGAUAACCCGGCGAAAGUCGGACUAAUACCGUAUGUUGUCCAUUGACGGCAUCCGAUUUGGACGAAAGGCUUGGCGGUGAGGGAUGGGGAUGCGUCCGAUUAGCCAGACGGCGGGGUAACGGCCCACCGUGGCUACGAUCGGUAGGGGUUCUGAGAGGAAGGUCCCCCACACUGGAACUGAGACACGGUCCAGACUCCUACGGGAGGCAGCAGUGAGGAAUAUUGGUCAAUGGGCGUAAGCCUGAACCAGCCAAGUAGCGUGCAGGAUGACGGCCCUAUGGGUUGUAAACUGCUUUUAUGCGGGGAUAAAGUGGCCCACGUGUGGGCUUUUGCAGGUACCGCAUGAAUAAGGACCGGCUAAUUCCGUG